Molecule: long non-coding RNA, 13618 nt
Organism: Amphiprion ocellaris (clown anemonefish)
Lineage: Eukaryota; Metazoa; Chordata; Actinopteri; Pomacentridae
Exons: 4
Source: RefSeq, a predicted model, not a curated record
UCUAAAACCCUUCAGCACAGACCGGUCACAUGUGGGCUAGAUCAGGGGUCCCCAUCUACCGGGUCCGAUACCGGUCCGUGGAUCAUUUUGUACCGGGCCGCAAAGAAUAAUAAUCGUGAUUAAAAUAUAUAUAAAAAUAUGUUUUUGCUUCCGGGUGUCUUAUUUUGAAAGACAACCACUUCCGCCCUCGCCUCACUUCCGCACUUGACUCUUUGGUGCGUAUUUAUCCUGCGUCAGCAAUGCAAGCUAGCCCUCGCAAAAUGAGCCAGAAACAGAGUUCACUGGAGAGUUUCUUUGGAAAGAGUAAACGAGACAACAGAGACAGCAGAAGGGUCACAGACUGCCUGCAAAAACAAAGCUGCGUUUAAAAUAAAAUACCAAGAUUCCUACCUCAGUUACGGGUUCAUCGCAACAGGUGAUUCACAAGCCCCACACCCACUCUGUGGAAUAUGCGGUGACAGACUUGCUAAUGAAGCCAUGAAACCAUCAAAACUGCGCCGCCACCCGGAGACAAAACACCCAGUAUUGAAAGAAAAGCCCUUAGAAUAUUUUGAAAGAAAAAAACGGGAACACGAAGGACAGAAACAAUUAUUGAAGGCCACUACUUCAACACGUGUCCGCGCUAAAAGCAUCAUUCCUAGUCGCGGACGGCAUUGCUAAAGCUAAGAAGCCCUUUACUAUUGGGGAAGAAUUGAUUUGGCCUGCUACGAAGGACAUUUGCUGCGAACUUUUCGGAGAGGCUGCAGUAAAAAAGGUUGAAAACAUCCCCCUUUCGGCGAGCACCGUAACAAGAAGAAUUAAUGAAAUAGCAGAGGACGUCGAGGCACAGUUAGUUGAGAGGAUUAAUGAGUCACCAUGGUACGCGAUUCAGGUGGAUGAAUCUACAGAUGUUGACAACAAAGCAAUAUUGCUCGUUUCUGUGAGAUACGUUUUUCAGGAGGAUGUACAUGAGGAUUUGCUAUGUGCACUAUUUCUGCCAACUACACCACACCUGCAGGGAUAUUCAAGUCCUUGAACGAGUACAUAUCAGGGAGGCUUAACUGGUCGCACUGUGUCGGUGUCUGCACGGACUGGGCGGCUUUCAGGUCUGACAACGUGGAUCAAGGAGGUCGCCUCUGAAUGUGAGUCCACACACUGUCAUCCAUAGAGAAAUGCUGGCAAGCCGAAACAAUGCCACCUGAGCUUAACAGCGUUUUGCAAGAUGUGAUAAAAAAUUAUUAACCACAUACAAGUACAUGCCCUGAAUUCACGUCAGUUCGAAAAGCUCUGUGAAGAGAUGGAUGCAGAACAUAGACGCCUUCUCUUGUACACAGAAGUGAGAUGGCUUUCAAGAGGUAAAUCACUGGCAAGUUUUUGAGUUAAGAGAGUCACUGCAGAGAUUUUUCUUGGAAAAACAGUCACCACUGGCAGCAUACUUCAGUGACGCUGAUUGGAUCUCGAAACUUGCUUACCUGUGUGACAUUUUUAACCUGCUCAAUGAACUCAAUCUCUCACUUCAGGGGAAAAUGACAACCAUUUUCAAGUUGGCAGAUAAAGUUGCAGCAUUCAAAGCCAAACUGGAGUUAUGGAGACCGACAGUGAACACAGGGAUAUCUGACAUGUUUCACAUAGUAGCAGGGAUUAUGGAAGAGACUGAGUUUGGACCUUCAUUGACCCAGUUAGUGCAUGAUCACCUGUUGCAGCUUUCAAGAGUUUGAGCAUUACUUCCCGCAAAAGACCCCAGGCUGGGGAAGGAAUGGAUCUGGAACCCAUUUGUGAACAAGCCAGGGGAAUCAACUUUAACCCUACAAGAAGAGGAACAACUAGUUGAGAUUGCAAAUGAUGGUGGCCUUCAAUCCAUGUUUGAAACAACUUCAAAUCUCUUUGCAUUCUGGAGUAAAGUCAAAGCAGAACAUCUUGACAUUGCCACAAAAGCACCGAAAGUCCUGCUUCCAUUUUCAACCUCUUAUCUUUGUGAGGCAGGGUUUUCUGCAGUGACGGCAACAAAAACAAGACUACGGAGUAGACUGGAUGUAAGGAAUACAAUUCGAGUGUCACUGUCUCCCAUCACCCCCAGAUGGGACCAUCUAGUUGCAGGAAAACAAGCCCAGCACUCCCCCUGAGUCUACAUUUUGUUGCCUGCUAAUCUUGAUUUGGAAGUAGAGGCUCAAGGAAAUGGACAAGGAAUACUAGAGUACAGGGAAAGACGACCACGGGUUGUGACCUAUUACAAUCAGCUGCAUGAGGUGGAAGAGAAAAUGCCCUGCAAGCACUUUGAUCUCAACGUCACUUUUGAAGGAUCCAGCGGUAGAUCAAAUUCUCACACUAUAUCACAUAUUUUACACGACGUCCUUCAGACGGGUGACAAAUUAAAGCAAAUGCACUUUAACAAAAAAAAAAAAAAACAAAGCAUUUUGACUGCUGACCUGAGUAAAUUUAGUAAAUUGAAUUUAUAAAACACUCGCGUACAAUCUCUUAAAAUACAUACGUUUUGCAUACAUCACAAUGCAAGGACUGUGUGUGCUCAUCUUCAGGGACUUUUUGUUCGUAUUAUUUUUGUUAAGAUCAAAUGAAUACAUUAUUGUUAAGAUCAAAAUAACACGUUGGAGCAUAAUUACAUCAAAUACACUAUUACAUACGCUCUAGCCCACCAUAUAAUAUAUACAGCUGUACAUUAAUUAAUGCUUUGCUGCUGUCCCGGACCAGAAAAGCCUCCAGCAGAUGUAGAAAAGUCAGACAAGAUCAAGUAGUUGUUGUUGUUGUUAUACGUGUACACGACUGUGCAAAAUGUUAGAUCGGCAGCAAUAUCGACUACCUUAUUACAAAUUGCAGGGCACAGUUUCACAGCUUUGGGUAGUUCAAAAUAUCUUGUGCCAGUUCCUCUGUGGACUGACACUCUGUACAUUAUCUGAUAGGUACUUUAUUCAUUCCCUUAGGGAGAUUCAAGGUAUGCAUGAGCUCACGUGUUACAUAGAAGAUAGAGGGCCACUGUGCGAAUGAGCAUGCAACAGACAUCCCAAAUCUGCCUAAAAUGCUGGUAUUUACAGAGGUGAGCUUAAAAAACUGUUAAUAUUUACAAUAAAGUGCAAAUCGGUGUUAUUUGCAAUAAAAAUAGAGCAUGAUAAGAGUUCAUAAUACAAUAAAUAUAGCAUUUGAAGUACAAACGAUGUCAGAGCUCUGUGGAAGAACAUCUGUUGGUCUGCAGAUGCAGGUACAUCUGUUAGUCUGCUGCUGCAGGUAGUUCUUCAUGGAUUCUUGGUGUGCCUCAGUAAAGACCGAUUCCUCUGGUUUUUCUUUCAGACUCAUUUUAAAAUGCUGCUGCUCACAUGCUCAAAGACUUUAAUCUGAUCAGUGACUGAUUGUACGUUAUGCCUUUACAUGAACAAUGUGACAGCAGCUGAUUAUAGUCGUAUAGUCAUCGUGCCCUUUGUCAGUGCUGUUCUUUUUCUCAUUCACAGCAGGGCUCUAGGACCCGGAGACGUCAGGAUGGUGGUUCUUGAUAUCAGUCUACCAACUGGAUUCACCCCAGAAAACUCUGACCUGGAGAUGUGUCCCUGAUCCCAGAGCUGGAUGCUUCAGAUCUGUGGUGGUUCUCCCACCAACUGGCCUAAUCUCCAUCUGUGGGAUGCUGCUGCUGCUGACCUUCCUCCAGCCCACUGCUUCCAGCUGCCCAUUUCCAUCAAUCUACUCUGCAUCACCCUCACUAUACUUGAUUUGCUCGUCUACAUAUUUUUGAAUUUACCACCAGCUAUAUAUGUAGUAUAUUUAAUGCCAGAGCCAUACACCGUAGCAGUAAACUAUAAUCAGUUUCCAGCCCAGAGGGAUAUAUGCGCAGAUUUUUUUUAAAUACCAUGUAGAAGACUAUAUACAGGAAGAUGAGGUAUCAGUUCUUGCACAUAGAUAUACAACAGUCCUUUAUUACUCCCCAGGUUAGGGGAAAUUUCCAGUGUUAGAGCAGCAAAAAUCUUUCAGAGCAGCACUAACUACAGUUUACUACAGUAAAGAUAAUAAUUAUAAUAACAAUAAUAUAUACAAGAAUGAAAAAUGAAUAAAUACAGUAUUACUACACUAUAAGUGACAUCAGCAUAAAGUGGCUUGUGGAAUACAUGUAAUUGUAAAAGUGCAGAAAAUGCCAGCAGUGCAAGGAGUUGUGGAGAUUUUCUCAAAACAGGUGAGUCCUGUGAAUAUGACCAAAAUAUGAGAUAAAACUACCAGAAACAUGUACAAAAUGACCAAAAUAUGAUUGGUUGAUAAUGUAUCAGUGUUGUUAUUGAUUAUUGAUCGGUUGCAGGGACAGAGAUUUGUGUCUGAGUCUCUGCUGUCAUCUAAUCUCUCUCAUGUAAGAUCAUGUCACAGGAGGGGGCGCUACUGUCCUCUUGUGGACACAGGCGGUAACGACACGACAUUAUUAUUAACUGUAUAGCUGGCGACAUUACAGAUGAGCAGCACUUCCUGUUAAUCUUCAACGUAAAAGCAUCUUUCUUUAUUGUACAUUUUAUGUCAAAAGUAUUACUAAGCGAUUUUGGUCGAUUCAGAAGGAUCUCUGGUGUAAACCAAGUCGUAUUUGACGACAGCUAGCUUCUCCACUUGCUCCAAUUACUUUUGUUGUAGUCCGAGUCACGUCCAAACAGGAAAUGAAUCCACAAUGUAGCUAAUGACAAUCUAUAGCUGCAUCUCCGUGAUGGCAGCGUUAGCGAGCUAGCAGCUAAUCAGAAGCUAGUGACAAGCUAACUCCAGCGCUACAAGCAGCGUCUCUUUAAAAGGUGCUGAUCACGAUAUCAGGCUGAAACGUGAGACCUGGGACAGGAAAAGGAGCUAGAGCGCUGUGUCUUGCAGAGGAUUUAUUUUAGAACUACGCAUGUUAAGGUAUUAGUCCGUGUCAUAGCAAACCCUCGUUAGCACUUCCGCUAGCUCGGCUAACACUUCCGGUCACGAAUGCAUUUGUACAUUAGCUAUAACGUGUUCAUUUUUGAACGUAUAGUGGCAACAAACACAAUUUGAGACUGUCGACAAGCUAGUGGUCCUCAAAUAGAUUUUGUUUCAUACUGCAGAUUCUUCUGAGUCUCACAAAACCACGUUUUAGCAUAAUAGCAUUACGAUAGUUUUACGUUGAAACAGGAAGUGCUGCUUCUCUGUAAUGUCGCCAGCUUUGCCUCAAAUAAUAAUAGUGUCGUUACCGGCUGUGUCCGCCAGAGGGCAGUAAUGUGUACAGUAAAGAUUUAGUGACUUUAGGGGUCAUUUUGAAUGUUUUUAUGGCUAUUUUUGCUUCAGUUUGUUCAUGUUUUGUCUCAUAUUGUGACUUUAGGGGUCCUUUUGCAUGUUUUUAUGGUUAUUUUUGCUUCAGUUUGUUCAUUUUGUGCCUCGUAUUGUGACUUUAGGGGUCAAUUUGCAUGUUUUUAUGGAUAUUUUUGAUUCAGUUUGUUCAUUUUUUGUCUCAUAUUAUUACUUUAGUGACUUUAGGGGUCAUUUUGCAUGUUUUUAUGGCUAUUUUUGAUUCAGAAUGUUUAUUUUUGGUCUCACAUUGUUACUUUAGGGGUCAUCUUGCAUGUUUUAAUGGCUAUUUUAUUAUUCAGUUUGUUCAUUUUUUGUCUCAUAUUAUUAUCAUAGCAGAGGCUCAUGGGUAAUGUGGUUCUGAGGCAGCCAGGAGCAGAGGCUCAUGGAUAACGUAGUCCUCUGUUUCCAGUCUUUAUGCUAAGCUAGGCUAACAGUUCUAACCUCUUUCCAGUCUUUAUGCUAAGCUAGGAUAGCUGUUUUCCUCUGUUUCCAGUCUUUAUGCUAAGCUAGGCUAACAGUUCUAACCUGUUUUGUCUUUCUGCUAACCUAGGCGUUUCAUGUGUUCCUCCAAGUCUCUGGAAAAGAUCAAAAUAUCAUCCAGAUAGACAAAAACAAAUCUCCCCAGCAUGUCGCGUAACACAUCAUUAGAUGUUGGAAAACUGCAGGUGCAUUAGUUAACCCAAAAGGCAUAACUAAAUACUCAAAAUAUCCCAAAGGAGUAUUAAAAGCAGUCUUCCACUCAUCCCCCUCCCGUAUUCUAAUUAAAUGAUAUGCAUUCCUCAAGUCCAACUUGUUGAAGAUUUGGGCACCCUGCAAAGAGGAAAACGCAGAGUUAAUCAGAGGCAGGGGAUAAGAGUUUUUAAUAGUAAUGUCAUUAAGGCUUCUAAAAUCAAUACAUGGCCGAAGGGUCUUGUCUUUCUUGUCCACGAAAAAGAAUCCAGCUCCCAAAGGUGAAGAAGAAUCGAAUUUUGCCUGCUGCCAGAGAGUCACGGAUAUAAUUUUCCAUAGCCGUUCGUUCAGGUUUCGAUAAAUUAUACAGACGGCUAGAGGGAAGAGUAGCCCCCUGUCGCAACUCAAUGGCACAAUCGUAAGGCCUAUGAGGGGGAAGAGCUAAGGCACGAUCCUUGCUGAACACAGGAGCUAGGUCAUGAUAUUGGGCAGGUAUAAUGUCUAAAUUCACCUGAUCUGGAGGUGUAGAGGCUUCGACAGCCGCCGGAGUCAACGCAGACUGAAGGCAACACUGAUGACAGUCUGGACUCCAGGCAGAAAUCUCUCCUCCAGUCGAGCUGUGGGUUGUGACGUUUCAACCAAGGAAAACCUAACACUACAGGGGGAUCAGAAGAGUCAAUAACGUAGCACGAAACCUUUUCACAAUGGUUCCCAGCAAUAAUCAGAUAGGUGAAGUCUUACGAGUCACUUGAGCUAACUGUACUCCAUUUAAAGCUCGGGCAAUCAGAGGCUUAUCCAGAGGAAUGGACGGAAUUCCUAACUGCUGUACUAAGUUGCUGUCCAGAAAACACUCCUCAGCUCCAGAGUCCACCAGUGCAGGAACAGAUAAGGCCUCAGAAUUCCAGCACAAGGUGGCUGGAAGCUGCAGAUGUUGUGGAGAGGUAGUAGCGGUUUGGCUCACCAGAAUCCUCCCACUUACCAGGCAGCCGAACCGUUUGGCUGACGACCAGGGCAAACCGCGAUGAAGUGACCAGCCUUUCCACAAUACAAACAUAGACAAGAGGCUCUCCGGUGCUCCUUCUCCUCAAUGGAUAGCUUGGCCCGGCCCAGCUGCAUAGGCUCUGGUUCCGGCAAAGGCACCAGACCAUCCAGGACCUGGGGAACCGCAGAUAUAGUGGCAAGGGCUCCCGAGGCACGUGUCUUCCUCUCACAGGCGCUCUUGCAGAAGAUUAUCCAGGCAGAUAGCUAUAUCUAUACACUGGUCCAGGGUGGAAGCCUCUUCUCUCUCACGGCCAGCUCGUCCUUCAGGAUGUCCUGAAGGCCCCUGUAGUACGCCCCACGUAGCGCUUCGUCAUUCCACCGGUCUCGUUGGCCAGAGACCGGAAUUCCACCACAUGCUCCGCCACACAUCGAGAUCCUUGGGUGAGAAACGGCAAACGAUCUGAGGCAUCCCUGCCACGUAUAGGAUGGUCGAAUAAUUUCUUCAUCUCAGAAAUAAAGGCAUCAUAAGAGCUACUGAGGGGACCUUGUCGUUCCCAAACCCCGGUUCCCCAAACCCUAGCAGCACCAGACAAAAGACUAAUUAAAAAAGCUAUUUUAGCCUUGUCUGACCUGUAGGAGUGCGGUUGUAAACUAAACACCAAGGAAACCUGGGUCAAAAACACCUGACACGAUCCAAAAUCCCCACUAUAACAUUCUGGUAAUGGUACAUGUGUCUCUUUGUCAGGGAGAACAGGACUAACAGGAGUUGGAACCACAACCGGAGCAGGAGCAGAUGAACGGCUAGCCAAUUGUGUAACCCUUUCUGUUAACGUGGAGAGCUAGCGCGGUAUUUCUGCUCAUGAGGCUGCAAAGCAUUUCCUCAUGUUGCCCUAAGGCAGUGUUCUGAUUAGCUAUAGCUUGGUCUAUAGUAAUCACCGGCGUCCCUCCAGCGGCAGCUUCAUUUCCCGCUGAGCUUAUUCUGGCUGGACUGUACUGUUACAGCAGAUUCAAAAGGCUCAGGAGCAGGAAAUGAAACACCAGCGUGAACAUUUUAAAGAUGCUUUUAUUCACAACAAGAAACUCUAUACAGGAACCGGAACUAGAAUCUUAAACAAGAACUAAAUUACUACUAGAACUAAAAAACAAAAAACAUCUAGAGGUACAGAGGAAUAACUACAUGAACAUGGAAACUGAAAUUAAGGUUAACCCACAUAUGGUAACACCAAGGUAGGGAAACAACUGAAAAUACAGAACUAACCCAGCCUAGACUACCAGUAAUUAUGAACUGAAACCCCAGACUAAAGCUAUCCUAUGCAGAGCAUAAAAUACCUUAAGUUAAAUACGGAACGCUGAUUAUUUAAUACGACAUAUUAACAAUACAAAGAGUCUGGUGAUACUAGGGCUUGGAGACUUGGCUGAUGAGCUGAGAACAAUCCUUUUGGUUUGACUUCAUCUAGAACUCUCCCUCCCGGUGUUCACCAUGUGCUUGGUAAGUUGGUGUCAGUAGAACCCGGUCGUGGCAGAUGUUUCCAGAGAAAGUCCUCUUCCCAGGUGUACGUGGAUGUUCCCAGGUUAAGCUGGCGACAGGUGGAGAUCCUCCGGAGAAGAAGACAGAAUCCGUGGUUGGGUGGAAAACCAGCAGAGGAAGGAACCCAGGCAACUCAGCAGGCAGGAAUCAGCUUUCUGAACACAGAAAAUAGAAUUACUGACAAUUCUAGGCUGGUGGCAAAGACAGUUCUACUCCCAGCACUAACUGGAGAUUAGACGACAGUCCAGCUUUGAAUGACGGGUGCCAUCUGCUUUUAUAGAGACGCUCAGAGACCAGUCACUCAGAUCCACCUGCAGCUCAUCUGCUGAUUACAAUGUAGCACACCUGCUGCCAGCUUCACCUAGAACACACCUAGGAGAGAGAGAACAGGAAGCACUACCACAGUCCACAGCCUUAAACUGUGGCUCUGACAAAUAUUUUCUUUAAGAACAUUCACAAAGUUUUUUUGUGAAUGUUCUUAAAGAAUUUUUUUCCACAAAAGAUGGUUGAAAAUUUCCCAAAAAUGUUGGAAAUGUGGACAAGUUUUUUUUUUGCCCCCCACAUUUUUAAACUUUAAAACAGGACAAUUUGACCCGCAGGGCGACUCGGGAGUCAAAUAAAAAUAUCAAAGAUUACAGAUUUGAACAGACAUGAAAUCAGAAUUUCACUCAACUCUUACAGACAAACCAACAGACUGGAUACUGAGGAUGUGGUGUUCAAGCUGCUAUGAAGAAAUCUGAAGAAUGUGGAGACGUGAAGACAAAUAAAAGAGUGGACGGCCAAGAAAAUGGUUUGAGGAGGAGCUGCUUAGAAAUUCUUCUUUGAAAAACUGGAGGAAGUCCAGCAGCUUCAUCUGGAUGCCGAGCUGAUCCGUCAGUUUAGAGGAGUUUGAUCAGGAAUGUCCUCUGAGGAAGCCAAGAAGGCACUUUUAUAGACAGAGAACAGGAAUGGAAGGCUGGAAGAUGCAGAAACUCACAGAGAUUAUCGGGAAGAUCAACGGAGAAGAGCUCUGUGGAGCGAUGAGCCAAAGAUUAACAAUAUCAGUUAAACAUAAUGGAUGGUUUGUCGUUGGUUCAGGCUGCUUUUCUGCUUUUCCCUGAUGGAGAUGAUGUCCAAACUGACUCAAUCAGUACUAUCUAUCUGUCUGUCUGUCUGUCUGUCUGUCUGUCUGUCUGUCUGUCUGUCUGUCUGUCUGUCUGUCUGUCUGUCUGUCUAUCUAUCUAUCUAUCUAUCUAUCUAUCUAUCUGUCUGUGUCUGUCAUUGGUGAAAUCACAUCUGGAUAAACUAACAGCCGAUAAAACAGCGACAUUAAUGGACUUUCCUCCCGAAAGUCUAAACCUGAUUAUUAGAGAAGCUGUGUGAGAUCAUCUGGAGAGAGAAACUGAUAAAAGAUGAUGCUAGUCUAAAGAAGAAUUCUGAAGGGAGCUUUCUGUUCUAUAUACAAGAUUAGUCAAGAAAACUUUGGUUGAUCCAAGAGAGUUCAUGAUGUUCUGAGGAAGGCCAGACUAAACACUGACUUUAGCCUGUAGACGACGUGUUGUUUUGAUGCUAUGCACACAUUUCCUGUAUUUUCUUGUUGUAUCUUAACCCUCCUGUUGUCUUCAUUUACGGGCACCAAAAAAUAUUGUUUCUUUGUCUGAAAACAAUCCAAAAAUUCAGCAAAAAAAUUCCACAAAUUUCUGAAAAUUUGCAAAACCUUCAGGAAGAAAAUUCCAAUAAUUCCUUAAAAGUUUCCCUUAAAAGUUUUAUUUUAAAAAAUCCCCCAAAUUUGGCAAGAAAAUUCUUGUAAAUAUUUUCAAAAAAUGAGUAAAAAUCUUCCAGAAAAAUCCUAAAAAACACUAAAGUGAUUCCAUAUAUAUCAGUAAAACUUCUAAUAUUUUCUGUAAGAACAUUCACAUAAAAAUCAACCAAAAUCCAGUGAAAUUCGCUGGAUUUUGGUUGAUUUUUUGUGAAUGUUCUUAAGAAACAUUUUUCACAUUUCUUUUUUUCCACCCAAAAAAUGUUCAAAGAUUUCCCAAAAAUUUUGAAAAUGUGGACAUCAGAAGUUUCACUGUGAAAAUAUAUAUUUUCUCCACAUUUUCAAACUUUAAAACGGGUCAAUUUUGACCCACAGGACGACACGAGGGUUAAUAAAGAGACUGAGACAUAAAUAUAUAAAUGCUUAUUACUAUCUGCUAAAAUGACAAACAUAAACUAGUCAGUCAAACAUCCAAUGAUUGACCUUUAUUUUUCACCAACACUCUCUAAAUCAUCUCUAAACAGUUUAUCAGCCUUUAUUUUCACAUUAUAAUCAUAUAUUCACAGAGCUACAUCAUUUUUUGUUGUGGUUUUAUUACAGAAAGAACAGAACUGAGCUUAUUUUUAUCUCUGAUCACGGUGAGUUUUAGAUCUAACACAGAAAUGUGAGUUUAAUAUAAACAGUCUCGCUGUACAAACAGUUAAUGAAAUGAUGUGGGAGUAAUCUGCAGAGUAAAUACUGUCCAGCUGUGCUUUAUGGGCUGGUUGCUACAGACCCACGCUGCUUGACAGGGUUUCCUGGUUACAAUUUUAUUGAUUGUAAGCAUGUCGGCCAUAAAAGUCUCUUCCUGGAUCUGUUCUGAGGUUACAGUUACUUUUCGAUCACUAAAAUAAACAUGCAAACUAGCUGCUUAUGAACCUCAAAUUUUGUGGUUUGUAGGGUUUUACAUAUUGCAUGUUGUCUUUUUUUUUUUUUAAAUCAGCAAAAUAAUACCAUUCAUCAGAGACAGAAAUUUUUGAAACAGAAAAAAUCAUUGGAUUUUCAACUUUCUGAGAGUCCUUGAAUCUGUGAUGAGCUGUUCUGAUGGGAAAAAUAAUCACAUCUAAGUGUAAAAAUUACAAUAUUUUAUCGAAAUUACUUUAUUCUACAUGUCCCAUUUAAAAAAAAAAUUAAAAGUCAGUAAUAAGCCACUUUCACUGUGUAAAAAACAACAACAACAACUGAAGUAAUGACUGAUUUACAUGACAAAAAAAAGAAAGUUGUUUUGGGUUGAACUGCAGGCUGUGUCUACAUAGAGCAGUGAUCAGAGAUCCAUAGUAGGUAAAAUCACCAAUUUUUCUAGUGUUGGUAACCUGUGGAGACCUGGAAAAAUACUGAAUAUGCUGAUUCCAUAUUUUUACAAUUUUUAUACAACAAAUAAUCAAAGAAACUCACAUUUCCUCUUUCGCUUGUUUGUGAUUUAUGGCAUUAAAACUUCGCUAAACUGCACAUUUCUGAGUUCUCUCCUCUUCUAGUCAUGGUUGUGGUGUUUCCAUAGAGAUGCAGGACUGAAAAAUGAGUCAACAGGGAGGAAAAAAUGUGACAAGAGCAAAGAAAACACCCAGAAACUGCCUUAAAAAACAACCGAUGUACUGCAGAGUUUCAGUUCAUGCGACCUUCAGUGUGACCUCUUUACCCAAGACGGAGUCACGACCGAAGUUAUUACCGUCUUUCCUUUAAAUAGUUUCACUUCCCUCUGCCUUCCUUCUCAGUCCUCCAGACUCACAGCAGUUCCACUUUUAACUGUAAUCACAUGCAAAGCACAACUCAACAGGAAAAUCUGAAUCUGAGCUCCAUUUAUUUCCACAUUUAGAACCUCCAUCCAGUCAGUCUGCUCACUGAAAGGUCAGCAGUUUGGACAAAUAAAACAGAAGAUGAAUUUAGAUAUCUACAACUAAUGGUUUAGAAGAAGCACUUUGAAUAAAUAAAAACAACACUUAGCACCGUCCUCUUAAAACAACCAUUUAAUCCUGUCUGAGAUGAAGAGUUUAAAUUGAAAGGAGAAUCGUCUUAAAAGACCACAUUGGUGGUUUUUUAAUGUAAUUGCCAGUUUUGUACUAAUUAUGGACCAAAAAAUGGUUUUGUUUGCUGCAAGCAGAGACAUUUUCACAACUCUGUGACUCAAUAUGGUCAUUUUUCUGCGUAAAACCAUUGAAUUGAUUACCUUAGUGGAUAAAUCUGAUUUCAGGGGAGUCGGUUGAAGACUUUAGCUCCCUGAAAACCUGAUUCGUGAAAUUUUGCAGGUCUCUAAAAUAUUUACACAUUGCUACAGCACUUUUGUCAUCACUUUCUAUGUUUUUUGUAUCUCGUCACCAUGGAUAAUGGCACAUUCAGCUGAUAUUGAUUUAUGAAUCAUGCAGGAGAUUGAUUCAUCAGUAAUUCACACAAAAUCAUCAACUUCAUUCUGCAACUAUUACUCAAAUAAACAGCGUUUCUCUCCCUCUUAAUGUGCUUCCACACCUCCAUGGGGCUCUUACUGCUAAUAUUCUUAAAAAUAAUAAUCAAUAAUGAUGAAUAGAACAGCCUCGUAAAAGUCAUACCUGUCAUUUCUAACCACAAAACAGUGAAGCAAAGUGAGUUCCUCCAGAAGCCACAGUUUCUCACACUAAUGAUGACAGUUUGUUGUUGUUUAUUGCAUCAAAAUGUUGCAAAAGGGAGUUUCAAAACAGCCCCUACUGCUCACAGCUGCAUUAUUGAUUCAUCAUAACAGAACUGAACAAAGACUGAGCACUGGUACUUCCUCCUCAAACAGGUUUUAGAUCAUCUCACAUGUUUGGUGAGGAGACUAUGGAAAGGAUUUAGAAAUGUAACCAGAGAAAUAUCUAGAUCAGGGGAUUCAAAUUAAUUUUAGUUCAGGUUCCAGAUUCAUCCCAGUCUGAUCUCCAGUGGACCAGACCAGUAAAACCACAGCAUAAUAACCUAUAAAUAACCACAACUCCUAAUGGGUCCUUUGUUUUAGUGCAAAAAAGUACAUUCUGAAAAUGUUGCCAUUUUAGGAACUAUCUUUUCACAAAACAUUAUGAAUAAAUGGAAAUUGGUUCAGAAAAAUAAAUUCAGUUUCAUCAACAUUCAGUCUCAGUUUAUCAUUUCCACAUUACAACUUCCAGAUCACAGAGUGUCGACAAAGGAACACAACAUUUAGUCAUCUGGAACUGAACCAGAGAGGAUUUUACUUUUAAGACAAAAAAACCCAACAAAAACAAGACAAAAUAUUACAAAAAUGAGAUAUAUAAUGACAAGAGAGAAAUAAGAUGGCAAAAAAUGAGACAAACAACACAAAAAAACAAAAUUCACAAAAAAGUUACAGAGCGACAAAAAAUUGGACAAACAAGACAAGAAAUUACACAAAUCACACAAACACACAACAACAAAAACAAUACACAAAACAAUGAAUAAAGCAAAACACAAAA